GGCAGACGGGUGAGUAACGCGUAAGAACUUACCCUAAAGUGGGGGACAACCUCGAGAAAUCGGGGCUAAUACCGCAUACGCUCCGCAAGGAGGAAAGCUUCGGCGCUUUAGGAUGGGCUUGCGCCCGAUUAGCUAGUUGGUGAGGCAAUGGCCCACCAAGGCUCAGAUCGGUAGCUGGUCUGAGAGGAUGAUCAGCCACACUGGAAUUGAGAUACGGUCCAGACUCCUACGGGAGGCAGCAGCAGGGAAUAUUGCGCAAUGGGUGAAAGCCUGACGCAGCAACGCCGCGUGGGGGAUGACGGCUUUCGAGUUGUAAACCCCUUUUCUUGGGGAAGAUAAUGACGGUACCCGAGGAAUAAGUCUCGGCUAACUACGUGCCAGCAGCCGCGGUAAGACGUAGGAGGCGAGCGUUAUCCGGAUUUACUGGGCGUAAAGGGCGUGUAGGCGGUUCUUCAAGUCUUUGGUGAAAUCUCCCGGCUUAACUGGGAGGGUGCCAGAGAUACUAGAGAACUUGAGGGCAACAUAGGAGAGCGGAAUUCC
Molecule: ribosomal RNA, 540 nt
Filed under: uncultured Pseudomonadota bacterium
Lineage: Bacteria; Pseudomonadati; Pseudomonadota
Description: bacterial SSU rRNA
Rfam family: Bacterial small subunit ribosomal RNA
Source: RNAcentral